RNAcentral lists this ribosomal RNA (478 nucleotides) under uncultured bacterium. RNAcentral's name for it is "bacterial SSU rRNA". It matches the Rfam family "Bacterial small subunit ribosomal RNA", at positions 365 to 833 of the family's 1533-position model. The record is from RNAcentral.
UUCGCAAUGCCCGAAAGGGUGACGAAGCGACGCCGCGUGCGGGAAGAAGGCCUUCGGGUUGUAAACCGCUGUCGGGAGUUAAGAAAUGCAAGGGUGUUAACAGCAUCCUUGCUUGACUAAGGCUCCGGAGGAAGCCACGGCUAACUCUGUGCCAGCAGCCGCGGUAAUACAGAGGCGGCAAGCGUUGUUCGGAAUUAUUGGGCGUAAAGAGCACGUAGGCGGCUGUGUAAGUCGGUUGUGAAAGCCUUCCGCUCAACGGGAGAACGGCAUCCGAUACUGCAUGGCUUGAGUGCGGGAGGGGAGAGUGGAACUUCUGGUAGAGCGGUGAAAUGCGUAGAUAUCAGAAGGAACACCGGCGGCGAAGGCGACUCUCUGGCCCGUAACUGACGCUGAGUGUGCGAAAGCUAGGGGAGCAAACGGGAUUAGAUACCCCGGUAGUCCUAGCCGUAAACGAUGGGCACUAAGUAGAGGGGUUUUA